UGUUGUCCAGGAAAUUUUAGCUUUCCAUCAGAGACUGUUUUCCAUGCAUACUGAAAAAGAUACCAUUUCACACAGAGAAUAUGAACAAUUUCCCUCUUUUUAGUGCAUGAUGUCCAAGUGAGUUUGUGUAUUUCACAUCUCUUCCAAUCCCUUUACAGCCACCCCAGAGACUGGUUCUGGAGAGAUUGUGCUCCCUAAGCCAACAAGACAACUUUGCAACAUAGGAAAUGCAGCCAAGAAUGGCUUUAUCUUUGUUAAUAAAUGACCAGAACACAGUGCUUGUUACUGGAAGAGUUAUGACCUGGUGAAUACUCUGGACUAUGAUCCAGGAAGCCUGGUUUGGGAUUAUCUUCCUGUUGCAGAGCCCCUCUUCGAUCUGUGGUGUCUCACUGAACUAAUUGCUGAUUUUUUUCCCCCUUCUGUAAAAUAAAGACAACCACCUGCCCACUCCUUCACCUCUCA
Parus major (Great Tit) is the source of this 462-nucleotide long non-coding RNA. RefSeq lists it as uncharacterized. The transcript is spliced from 2 exons. The record is from RefSeq and is a predicted model, not a curated record. Lineage: Eukaryota; Metazoa; Chordata; Aves; Passeriformes; Paridae.